Molecule: long non-coding RNA, 695 nt
Organism: Gallus gallus (chicken)
Lineage: Eukaryota; Metazoa; Chordata; Aves; Galliformes; Phasianidae
Source: Ensembl
GUGCUUAAAAGAUUGGUUGAGUAAAUUACAACACUUAGCCGAGCUUUCCUCUGACUGCCACAAUCCUCAGCACGUGCAAGGUCAGAUCUUCACUGCAGAGGAAACCCAUUUAGCAACAUGCUAAUUUCCUUCAAGGAAAGAGAUUACUGAUCACAGUAGAUUUCUACAGCAGGCGCUGGCCACCUGUGCCUGGUCUCAACAGCACAAGAUCUCAUGCACAGGAAGGAAUCAAUGAUUACUGUGUGAUUGCACACCACAUGUGGUUGCUGACACAGCUUCUCCCUCUCGUGGGGCAACCUUUUGGCAGAAGAGCUCCUGAGGAAUGUCCUAGGCUCACCUCUGAGGAAGAGAGGUUGCUGACCUGAGGCACUGCAAUAGAGACUGAAAACAGAUGGAGGUGAAUGAAUUACCUUUUUUUUUCCCCCAGGAGCUUAAAAUGAACAAUAGAGCCUUUCCCCCUCCUCCUACUUCAUCAUUUUUUUUAAUAACCACUCUCAACUGAAGGUUUUAAGAAUGUUUUUAUAGUUAUUUUACAUAUUUCAAAAUAACAUUUAUUAGCUCAAUACCUCUAAUUAUGCAUGACGAUGAGUCACAUGUUGAAUGUGCUCCUACAUUUUCUUCAUUUGAAUCUGUGUAUGUACUUACCUAAUUUGGCAGCAGUGGCAUGGCUAGAUGUUAAAUGAAAUUCAUCCUGC